Molecule: long non-coding RNA, 1046 nt
Organism: Peromyscus californicus insignis
Lineage: Eukaryota; Metazoa; Chordata; Mammalia; Rodentia; Cricetidae
Exons: 2
Source: RefSeq, a predicted model, not a curated record
GCAGAGUGCACUUAGAGGUGACCAGUGCGGGCCACUCUGUCCUGCCAGAAACCAGCCUCCUGUUUAAUUGUUUUGCUGUCUCCAGAGAUGGCCACUGUAAAGAAAGCCAAGCACGAAGACAUGUAAGUCAUCAUCUUUGGAGAGGAGAAAUAUGUGUUAUCUGAGGAGAAGGACUUGAAUCAUCAUUUGCAAAUGACAGACUAAUCACUGCGCUAACUCAAUGAUCCGGAAGAGUCUAGAGACUGGAGAAUUUUGCCAAUUAGAAAACAGACACAGCUAAACUACAUCUAGAGAUGUUUACCCAGGAAGUAACAGAACAAAUAAACAAAGCGGGAAAUAUCAAGCUGUACAUUGAAGAAGUAUGACAGUAAAAAUAGGAAAUGACUCAAGUGUUCUAGGCAAUAAGAAUGAUACUAAGAUAAAUUUUAAUUCAUUUGUUCUAUGAAGUGCUACUUAUUCAUUAAAACUAAUGCAGAUCUAUUAUUUCCUCAGAUAAAAAUUCACAGUGUGUUGUUACAUGUAUAUGAAAAUAUAUGCAGGUGUAGUAUAUGUCUAUACAUUUCCACAUAGAGUACUUGUGAUAGUUGUGGGUGACUAGGAAUAUUAUUUUUGUUUAUGAUUAUCUAUGUCUUUAACUCUUCUCUACUAAAAACUUAGAUUGAAAAAGCAUGAAACCCAAGUACUUAAAACUGUCUCCCAUAGAUUUUCCCCAUUUCCUUUUAUCUUAGUAAGAUGUAUCUUAGCACGCAUGUGAGUAUAGAAAUCAAACAUUGUUCUGACCAAACCUACACUAUAUUUGAAGAUUGAAAUUGAGGAAGGGGCUUGUUGUUAUUUCUGCUCAAUGUUGCAAACUCCUCAUUUGAUGAUGUUUCACUGUCUGCCGCUUCUCUGUGUCUGCUACUUUUAUUCUUUUACUUUUGCUUGCCAUGUACAUAAUCAACUCAUUCAUUAAAGCCCCAAGUGUGGCUAUCACAAUCACUCUCCAGUCUGUAAAGAACAGAUGUAAGAUGUAUCAUUGACAAAUAAACACAAAUUCCUUUAAAAUA